GUGAGGAAUAUUGGUCAAUGGGCGCAAGCCUGAACCAGCCAUGCCGCGUGCAGGAAGACGGUCCUAUGGAUUGUAAACUGCUUUUAUUUGGGAAUAAACUCCGGUACGUGUACCGGCCUGAAGGUACCAAAUGAAUAAGCACCGGCUAACUCCGUGCCAGCAGCCGCGGUAAUACGGAGGGUGCAAGCGUUAUCCGGAAUCAUUGGGUUUAAAGGGUCCGCAGGCGGUCUUAUAAGUCAGUGGUGAAAGCCUACAGCUCAACUGUAGAACUGCCAUUGAUACUGUAGGACUUGAAUUCGAUCGAAGUGGGCGGAAUGUGACAUGUAGCGGUGAAAUGCUUAGAUAUGUCACAGAACACCGAUAGCGAAGGCAGCUCACUAGGUCUGGAUUGACGCUGAGGCACGAAAGCGUGGGGAGCAAACAGGAUUAGAAACCCCUGUAGUCC
This 445-nucleotide ribosomal RNA is filed under the name uncultured bacterium. RNAcentral's name for it is "partial 16S ribosomal RNA". It matches the Rfam family "Bacterial small subunit ribosomal RNA", at positions 354 to 796 of the family's 1533-position model. The record is from RNAcentral.